This is a long non-coding RNA of Gossypium raimondii (Peruvian cotton), 486 nucleotides long. RefSeq lists it as uncharacterized. The transcript has 4 exons. NCBI's taxonomy places the organism in Eukaryota, Viridiplantae, Streptophyta, Magnoliopsida, Malvales, Malvaceae. The record is from RefSeq and is a predicted model, not a curated record.
UUUAGCCGCUUCACAACCUUUUCUUUUCUUUUUCUUUACAACACAAUUUACAACGGUGGUAAAGAGUGUGUUGCAGGCGAUCCGUGAAAGCGGUCACCGCACUUUCUUAAGGGAGCUCAAGGAUGAUGGCUUCACGAAAUGCUUCUUCGAUGGAAACCUUCUUGUGAUAUUGCUUCCUAUUGAAGCGACUUGUUUGAUUGCUUCCUCCACCCAUAGUUGAUCGUCUUCUUUUCACACAAUCACUAGUCACAAAGAAGCCUCUCAGUUCAGACAUCGUUCUUUCCCUUACUACAACCAGCUUACUGCCAUAUACGCAAGAGAUCGAACGACUGGGAAAGACGCUCAAACAGCUGCUGAUGUUCUUGAAGAAAUACAUGCUGAGGAUGAACGUACUACAUAUAUGAAUGAAGAGAGAAACACAUUCUAUGACUGCGAAGCUGACGUCUCUUUAGACGACAUGGAUGUUUCGCAUGAUCCGCGAGGAGA